CCUACGGGCGGCAGCAGUGGGGAAUAUUGGGCAAUGGAGGCAACUCUGACCCAGCAACGCCGCGUGAAUGAUGAAGGUCUUCGGAUUGUAAAGUUCUUUUCUAAGGGGAGAAGAAAGUGACGGUACCUUAGGAAUAAGCCUCGGCUAACUACGUGCCAGCAGCCGCGGUAAUACGUAGGAGGCAAGCGUUAUACGGAAGGACUGGGCGUAAAGGGUGCGGAGGUGGUUUGACAAGUUAGUGGCGCAACGCCGGGGCUCAACGUCGGAAGUACUACGAAAACUGUUGGACUUGAGUGCAGGAGGGGCAAUCGGAAUUCGUAGUGUAGCGGUGGAAUGCGUAGAUAUGAGGAGGAACACCAGUGGCGAAGGCGGAUUGCUAGACUGUAACUGACACUGAGGCACGAAAGCGUGGGGAGCAAACAGGAUUAGAUACCCCUGUAGUC
This 443-nucleotide ribosomal RNA is filed under the name uncultured bacterium. Its description in RNAcentral is "partial 16S ribosomal RNA". It matches the Rfam family "Bacterial small subunit ribosomal RNA", at positions 338 to 795 of the family's 1533-position model. The record is from RNAcentral.